CAGCUUGAUGUCAUCCAUCUCCCCAGUGACAGACAUUAGAAGGCCCUCCUGGCUCCUCAACCGGAAGUGCACCUGUCGCUGCUCAGGUUUGAUGUCUCUUCAUCUCCUUCAUCUCCAAAACAGAACACGUCCCCAUCGAUCUCCAGACAGGAUCCCUCAAAGCCAGGCCGCUCAUACAGCACAGCCUGAGGAGACCAAGGCCAAAGGUCAAAGCAACAUUUAUAGCAGAGUGGACACUCACCCAUACAGCCAGUCGGAUGGAGCCGAUGACCAUUGGUAUGUCGACAUGGGGGUGUGAACCUGGUGGCCCUGCAUCUGCCCAGACAUUGGUCAGCUCAAUAGGCCCCUCCUCUAGGGCAAUGGAACGCCCCUCGAACCCAGGCCUCUCAUAAAGCACCCAGCUGUAAAGACAGAUAGGAGCAGGUAAACAAACACAUAAAAUAUGAAUCAUAGAAAUAGACUAAUUGGAACAAUAUGAUUAUCUCUUUCUCUUAAUUGAUGUAUUAUUUGACAUGUAUUUGAUUACUGUUGUAUUGAUUAUGAUCUGUAUUAAACAUAUUCAUGUGAGUGGGGAAACGCUGACAGAGGCAUUCCCCUGGAGAGGGGAAACCGGAGUUAACCAGCUAUUCCUUGUCUAAAAUCCAUGUUUGGUAAUCAAGUCUAUAAUUGCAUCUGUAAUUAAAUGUAAUUGCUGAUGAUGUUUAUACCUCUUAAGCAGACCUUUGACCCGUUAUAAGUGCUGAUGUGAUACUUACUUGUAAUCUGUACGGCUAGUUGCCAAGACCACUGUGCCUUAUUUGUAGGUUCCUACAAGAUUUAGUGACAUUGUCGACAGAACAGUUGUUCCUGAUAGUGGCUAUGUAGACCUCCUUUAUUCUAACUGCAGAAAUGCAUACAAGGCACUCCCUCGUCCUCUCUUUGGCAAAUCUGACCAUGACUCAAUUCUCUAGCUUCCUGUUUACAAACGAAAGCUCAAAUGGGAAGUACCAGUGAUAUGCCCAUUACGGAAGUGGUCGGAUGAAGCAGACGCAAGGCUCCAAGACUGUUUUGCUAGUACAGACUGGGAUAUGUUCCAGGAUUCAUCCGAUAACAUUGAGGAUACCACAACAGUCACGGGCUUCAUCAAUAGGUACAUAGAUAAUGUCAUCCCCACAGUGACUAUAAGAAUGAAUCCUAACCAGUGCUUAAUUUGUACAUUUGGAGAAGCCGGAACAAAAAGUGAGCCAGAGAGCAGGGUUACCCGGGGUGAUCUGAUGUACCAAAAAGCAUGAAAAAAAACCUCCUUUAUAACAAAGCCUUGCAUGCAUUAUCUUGCUUUUGUGUACUGGCAUAGAUCAGUAGAGGCACUUGCAGAAGUUGCACACAAUGGGGAAUUUUUUUUGUAGCCUAAGUGGCCCUUAUAAACGCAUUUCAUGCAAUUCUAUUUCAUUUUAGAAUACCUCACAAAUGAUCAAAAUAAUAGGCUACUUUGACACUGACAAACUGAGAAACUGAGAUGAAUAAAAACGACCUUGACUUCAAUCCAUCACUGGCCUAGGCCUAGGUGUGUGUAACUGGAUGGAAGAAAGGGGGAAGGAGGAAAUUCUAGUCCUAAAAAAACUUUCUAGUUUCACUGACUCACCCAAUAAUGCUCAGCUCAGUCACCGGCGACGGCCAAUACGCUCGUGCCAAAAGCUUAUCUCUCUCUUAUUUUACUUGGUAAAACAAUGCUGUUCGCUCAAUAGGCCUAUUUGGAAGUUGAUAACUUGGUAGACUACAGACAGAUUAGCCUUCUUUUCAGCAGGAUCCCUUUGCUUUCCAAGCUGUAUUUCUUCUUUUCAGCAGGAUCCCUUUGCUUUCCAAGCUGUAUUUCUUCUUCUCAGCAGGAUCCCUUUGCUUCCAAGCUGUAUUUCUUCUUUUCAGCAGGAUCCCUUUACUUUCCAAGCUGUAUUUCUUCUUUUCAGCAGGAUCCCUUUGCUUUCCAAGCUGUAUUUCUUCUUUUCAGCAGGAUCCCUUCGCUUUCCAAGCUGUAUUUUCCGGCGGUUGUAUUUGAAAUAUUGUGAAAGGCCUGUUUUAGCUUCAUGCUGUUCACUGACAAGUUUGAAGCGUGUUCCUGACUGUAGGCAUGCCUCGUGAUUGGGCUACACACAAUCCACAGCUAGGCAAUUUUGCUUUUUGAUAGGCAGUCAUUGUAAAUAAGAAUGUGUUCUUAACUGACUUGCCUAGUUAAAUAAAGGUCAAAAAACAAAACAGGGCUGUUGUGGACAGGUCGAGAGCUUUAAGUUCCUUGGCGUCCACAUCACUAAGGACUUAACAUGGUCCACACACACCCGCACAGUCGUAAAGAUGACACGGCAGCGCCUCUUCCCCCUCAGGAGGCUGAAUAGAUUUGGAAUGGGCCCUCAGAUCCUCAAAACGUUCUACAGCUGCACUAUCGAGAGCAUCUUCAGUGGCUGCAUCACUGGUUGGUAUGGCAAUUGCACCGCCGUUGACCGCAAAGCACUACAAAGGGUGGUGCGGACAGCCCAGUACAUCACUGGGGCCGAGCUCCGUGCCAUUCAGGACCUUUAUAUCAGGCGGUGUUAGAGGAAUGCCCGAAAAAUUGCCAAAGACUCCAGCCACCCAAGUCUCUGCCUGGCCGGUUCCCCUCUCCACUGGGAUUCUCUGCCUCUAACCCUAUUACAGGGGCUGAGUCACUGGCUUACUGGUGCUCUUCCAUGCCGUCCCUAGGAGGGGUGCGUCACUUGAGUGGGUUGAGUCAACAACCCCUUGGGUUGUGCCGUGGCGGAGAUCUUUGUGGGCUAUACUCGGCCUUGUCUCAGGAUGGUAAGUUGGUGGUUGAAGAUAUCCCUCCAGUGGUAUGGGGGCUGUGCUUUGGCAAAGUGGGUGGGGUUAUAUCCUGCCUGUUUGGCCCUGUCCGGGGGUAUCAUCGGAUGGGGCCACAGUGUCUCCUGACCCCUCCUGUCUCAGCCUCCAGUAUUUAUGCUGCAGUAGUUCUCCUGUCUUAUCCGGUGUCCUGUGUGAAUUUAAGUAUGCUCUCUCUAAUUCUCUCUUUCUUUCUCACUCUCGGAGGACCUGAGCCCUAGGACCAUGCCUCAGGACUACCUGGCAUGAUGGCUCCUUGCUCUCCCCAGUCCACCUGGCCGUGCUGCUGCUCCAGUUUCAACUGUUCUGCCUGCGGCUAUGGAACCCUGACCUGUUCACCGGACGUGCUACCUGUCCCAGACCUGCUGUUUUCAACUCUCUAGAGACAGCAGGAGCGGUAGAGAUACUCUUAUUGAUCAGCUAUGAAAAGCCAACUGACAUUUACUCCUGAGGUGCUGACUUGUUGCACCCUCGACAACUACUGUGAUUAUUAUUAUUAUUUGACCAUGCUGGUCAUUUAUGAACAUUUGAACAUCUUGGCCAUGUUCUGUUAUAAUCUCCACCCGGCACAGCCAGAAGAGGACUGACCUGGUUCCUCUCUAGGUUUCUUCCUAGGUUUUGGCCUUUCUAGGGAGUUUUUCCUAGCCACCGUGUUUCUACACCUGCAUUGCUUGCUAUUUGGGGUUUUAGGCUGGGUUUCUGUACAGCACUUUGAUAUAUCAGCUGAUGUAAGAAGGGCUAUAUAAAUACAUUUGAUUUGAUAGACUGUUCACUCUGCUACCGUCCAGCAAAUGGUACCGGAGCAUCGGCUCUCGGACCAAUAGGAUCCGAGACAGCUUCUUCCCCCAAGCCACUGCUAAAUAGUAAACUAAUGCGCUGAUCCUACACACACUCACUAGACUAUAUAUAUAUACACUCACUAGACUAUAUAUACACACCAUAUCAUUCACACACACUACAUUGGCACUCCCACACUUUGGUACUGCUACUCUGUUCUUUUCUAAAUGUUACUCUUAUUAUUAUUAUCUAUCCUGAUAUCUAGGUCACUUCACCCUGCCUUCAUGUAUAUAUUUUUUUAUUUCUUUAUCCUUUAUUUAACUAGGCAAGUCAGUUAAGAACAAAUUCUUAUUUACAAAGAUGACCCCGGGUCAAUUGCGUACCACCAUAUGGGACUCCCAAUCACAGCCGGAUGUGAUGCAGCCUGGAUUCAAACCAGGUACUGCAGUGACUCUCUUGCACUGAGAUACAGUGUCUUAGAUCAAUGCGCCACUCGGGAGCCCACAUACAGUGCCUUCGGAAAGUAUUCAGACCCAUUCACUUUUUCCACAUUUUGUUACGUUACAGCCUUAUUCUAAAAUAGAUUAAAUAAAUAAAUAAAUCCUCAGCAAUCUACACACAAUACCGCAUAAUGACAAAGUGGAAACGUUUGCACAUUUAUUCAAACUAAAAACCAGAAAUACCUUAUAUACAUAUGUUUUCAGACCCUUUGCUGUGAGACUCGAAAUUGAGCUCAGGUGUGUCCUGUUUCCAUUGAUAAACUUUAAUUGUUUCUACAACUUGACUGGAGUCAACCUGUGGUAAAUUAAUUUGAUUGGACAUGAUUUGCAAAGGCACACACCUGUCUAUAUAAGGUCCCACAGUUGACAGUGCAUGUCAGAGCAAAAACCAAGCCAUGAGAUCAAAGGAAUUGUCUGUAGAGCUCUGAGACAGGAUUGUGGUGAGGCACAGAUCUGGGGAAGGGUACCAAAACAGUUCUGCAACAUUGAAGGUCCCCAAGAACACAGUGGCCUCCAUCAUUCUUAAUUCCAUCAUUUCUGCAGCACUCCACCAAUCAGGCCUUUAUGGUAGAGUGGCCAGACGGAAGCCACUCCUCAGUAAAAGGCACAUGACAGCAUGCUUGGAGUUUGCCAAAAGGUUCUCUGGUCUGAUGAAACCAAGAUUUAACUCUUUGGCCUGAAUCCCAAGCGUCGCGUCUGGAGGAAACCUGACACCAUCCAUACGGUGAAGCAUGGUGGUGGCAGCAUCAUGCUGUGAGGAGUUUUUUCAGCGGCAGGGACUGUAAGACUAGUCGAGAUCGAGGCAAAGGUGAACAGCGUAAAGUACAGAGAGAUCCUUGAUGAAAACCUGCUCCAGAGCGCUCAGGACCUCAGACUGGGGUGAAGGUUGACCUUCCAACAGGACAACAACCCUAAGCACACAGCCAAGAUAAGGCAGGAGUGGCUUCGGAACAAGUCUCUGAAUGUCCUUGAGUGGCCCAGCCAGAGCCCAGACUUGAACGAGGUCGAACAUGUCUGGCGAGACCUGAAAAUAGCUGUGCAGCAACGCUCCCCAUCCAACCUGACAGAGCUUGAGAGGAUCUGCAGAGAAGAAUUUUAGAAACUCCCCAAAAACAGGUGUGCCAAGCUUGUAGCGUCAUACCCAAGGCUGUAAUCGCUGUCAAAGGUGUUUAAACAAAGUACUGAGUAAAGUGUCUGAAUACUUAUGUAAAUGUGAUAUUUCAGUUCUUUAUUUUAAAUAAAUUAGCAAAUAUAUAUAAAAAACAGCUUUUGCUUUGUCAUUAUGGGGUAUUGUGUGUAGAUAGAUGAGAAAAACAACAACAAUUUAAUCAAUUUUAGAAUAAGGCUGUAACCUAACAAAAUGUGGGGAAAAUCAAGGGGUCUGAAUACUUUCCGAAGGCGCUGUAGCUCAUACCUCUACACAUUGAUCUGGUACUGUUACUCCCUGUAUAUAACUCCAUUCUUGUGUAUUUUAUUUUAUUCCUCGUGUAAGUUAUUUUAUUUUGUAUAUAUAUUUUUUUAACUCUGCAUUGUUGGGAAUGGUACAUAAGCAAGCAUUUCACUGUAAAGUCUACACCAGUUGUAUUUUCUUGCAUGUAAUAAAUACAAUUUAUUUGA
Molecule: long non-coding RNA, 5738 nt
Organism: Salvelinus fontinalis (brook trout)
Lineage: Eukaryota; Metazoa; Chordata; Actinopteri; Salmoniformes; Salmonidae
Exons: 3
Source: RefSeq, a predicted model, not a curated record